GUAGCACAAUCACUUGUUCUUUAAAUGGGGACUAGUAUCAAUGGCAUCACGAGGGUCUUACUGUCUCCUCACUCCAAUCAGUGAAACUGAUCUUCCCGUGAAGAAGCGGGAAUAAAUAUAUAAGACGAGAAGACCCCAUGGAGCUUUAAACCCAACAGCAUCUAUUAUUUUAUGUCCUCAUAAACGCUUAGUUAAUGCUUGUUUGGUUUUGGGUUGGGGUGACCAUGGAGUAAAAAAUAUCCUCCACGAAGAAAGGGAUAAUGGCCCUUAUUAAAGAUUACACUUCGAUAAAUUAGUAUACUAAUUUCCAAUGAUCCGAUAUUCGAUCAACGAACCAAGUUACCCUGGGGAUAACAGCGCAAUCCGCCUUAAGAGCUCUUAUCGACAGGCGGGUUUACGACCUCGAUGUUGGAUCAGGGUCUCCCAGUGGUGCAGCAGCUACUAAAGGUUCGUUUGUUCAACGAUUAAAACCCU
This 474-nucleotide ribosomal RNA is filed under the name Boophis arcanus. Its description in RNAcentral is "partial 16S ribosomal RNA". It matches the Rfam family "Bacterial large subunit ribosomal RNA", at positions 1956 to 2597 of the family's 2925-position model. The record is from RNAcentral. Lineage: Eukaryota; Metazoa; Chordata; Amphibia; Anura; Mantellidae.